Molecule: unclassified non-coding RNA, 348 nt
Filed under: soil metagenome
Description: partial contains 5.8S ribosomal RNA, internal transcribed spacer 2, and large subunit ribosomal RNA
Rfam family: 5.8S ribosomal RNA (bases 1-120)
Source: RNAcentral
GAUGAAGAACGUAGCGAAAUGCGAUACGUAAUGUGAAUUGCAGAAUUCAGUGAAUCAUCGAGUCUUUGAACCCACAUUGCGCCCCCUGGUAUUCCGGGGGGCAUGCCUGUCCGAGCGUCAUUGCUGCCCUCAAGCACGGCUUGUGUGUUGGGCCCCGCCCCCCGGCUCCCGGGGGGCGGGCCCGAAAGGCAGCGGCGGCACCGCGUCCGGUCCUCGAGCGUAUGGGGCUUCGUCACCCGCUCCGUAGGCCCGGCCGGCGCCCGCCGGCGACCCCCCUCAAUCUUUUCAGGUUGACCUCGGAUCAGGUAGGGAUACCCGCUGAACUUAAGCAUAUCAAUAAGCGGAGGA